This 73-nucleotide transfer RNA is filed under the name Candidatus Poribacteria bacterium. RNAcentral describes it as "tRNA-Ala". It matches the Rfam family "tRNA". From Rfam's summary of the family: Transfer RNA (tRNA) molecules are approximately 80 nucleotides in length. The record is from RNAcentral. Lineage: Bacteria; Candidatus Poribacteria.
GGGGCUGUAGCUCAGUUGGGAGAGCGCGUGAAUGGCAUUAACGAGGUCGUCGGUUCGAUCCCGAUCAGCUCCA